CCUAUUGCGUCGAGAUUUUCUUCUGGUCCCUAAUCCUCAUUUUUGGUUUCUAAACUAACGAAGGGUGCAACACCAGGUCGCUGAAAGGACAAAGAUCUGGUCCUAUUAAACCUCCCCCAAGUCCCUUCGAUACAUCCAUAAAAAAUUAGACCAGCCCUCCCCCCUCCUCCUCCCCUUCUAAUUUUCCCCAAACUGAAACCCUAACAAAUCGCUAUUCCAUAUUUUUCUCCAGGAAUUUCUCACGACGUGUCUACGGUCUAUCUGAAGUGACUGAAGACUCACAAACCGGCGAUAACAAGAUUUGUCUAUAUGAACAGAAAUGAGGCAGCUUAUCCUAAGCAUCUUUUCUGCAAGCUCAAGCUUAGGUGCAGGUGUAUCAUGUGAGAGUUUCACAAUUGAGGUGAAUGUGAAGGAUUUCGUAUUUGAACCCAGAGACAACAGAUAGAUCUGCACAAGAUAAAGGUCCAAAUAUAUCCAAACAGCAAGACGUUGAACACAAAAAACGAAAGCUUGCUACCCUAAUGGAGAUAUGAAAAAUACCUACAGCAAUAAUUUACUUCGAAUAACAAAGUCCACAUCAAGAUGCUACACCAGCAAGAAUUUUGAAAUUUAUUAGUCAGAAUAUUUAGAUGGUUGUAGUAUGUAAAAUGUAAAUGCUAAGAAACAUGUAGGAGGUAAGGUAUAUGUCCCCCUCCUUGUAUUGGACAUGUUAUUGAAAUCUGUAUCAAGGUCUUAGUGAUUUAACUUUGA
This is a long non-coding RNA of Nicotiana tabacum (common tobacco), 750 nucleotides long. RefSeq lists it as uncharacterized. Lineage: Eukaryota; Viridiplantae; Streptophyta; Magnoliopsida; Solanales; Solanaceae. The record is from RefSeq and is a predicted model, not a curated record.